RNAcentral lists this transfer RNA (56 nucleotides) under Meloidogyne exigua. RNAcentral's name for it is "tRNA-Leu". The record is from RNAcentral. Lineage: Eukaryota; Metazoa; Nematoda; Chromadorea; Rhabditida; Meloidogynidae.
AAUCAUCUAUUAUAAAUAAUAUUUUUAUUUUAGUGUUAAAAGUUAAUUGAUUACUU